RNAcentral lists this ribosomal RNA (472 nucleotides) under uncultured Alphaproteobacteria bacterium. RNAcentral's name for it is "bacterial SSU rRNA". It matches the Rfam family "Bacterial small subunit ribosomal RNA", at positions 9 to 524 of the family's 1533-position model. Lineage: Bacteria; Pseudomonadati; Pseudomonadota; Alphaproteobacteria. The record is from RNAcentral.
GAGUUUGAUCAUGGCUCAGAACGAACGCUGGCGGCAUGCCUAACACAUGCAAGUCGAACGAGACCUUCGGGUCUAGUGGCGCACGGGUGCGUAACGCGUGGGAAUCUGCCCUUGGGUUCGGAAUAACAGUGAGAAAUUACUGCUAAUACCGGAUGAUGUCUUCGGACCCAAAGAUUUAUCGCCCAAGGAUGAGCCCGCGUAGGAUUAGCUAGUUGGUGGGGUAAUGGCCUACCAAGGCGACGAUCCUUAGCUGGUCGUGAGAGGAUGAUCAGCCACACCUGGGACUGAGACACGGCCCAGACUCCUACGGGAGGCAGCAGUGGGGAAUCUUGGACAAUGGGCGCAAGCCUGAUCCAGCCAUGCCGCGUGGAUGAUGAAGGCCUUAGGGUUGUAAAAUCCUUUCGUCAGGGACGAUAAUGACGGUACCUGAAGAAGAAGCCCCGGCUAACUUCGUGCCAGCAGCCGCGGUAAC